GAUGAACGCUGGCGGCGUGCCUAACACAUGCAAGUCGAACGAAGCGCCUGGCCCCGACUUCUUCGGAACGAGGAGCCUUGCGACUGAGUGGCGGACGGGUGAGUAACGCGUGGGCAACCUGCCUUGCACUGGGGGAUAACGAGCCAGAAAUGGCUGCUAAUACCGCAUAAGACCGAAGCGCCGCAUGGCGCGGCGGUCCAAAGCCCCCGGACGGUGCAAGAUGGGCCCCGCGUCUGAUUAGGUAGUUGGCGGGGUUAAACGGCCCCACCAAGCCGACGAUCCAGUAGCCGACCUGAGGA
This 299-nucleotide ribosomal RNA is filed under the name uncultured bacterium. RNAcentral's name for it is "partial 16S ribosomal RNA". It matches the Rfam family "Bacterial small subunit ribosomal RNA", at positions 28 to 298 of the family's 1533-position model. The record is from RNAcentral.